GACAUUGAAAUUCUCUACAAUAAAUGCAUGAAUACAACUUCUUUUUCAGACUUCGACGAGCUUGAUUCGAAGGCAAAUUCUUAUUAUAGAAUUGUUGAGCAAGAUUUAAAUCUUUUGAUGCAGGAAGAUUGUUUCCAAAAAUAUACAAUUACUGAAUCCCUCAUCACAGAAAAAAUGAAUUUAUUGAGUGAAGAAUGUUUUGAUAUAAUGAAGACCAUAACGUCUCUAACUGAUCAAAUGGGAGCCUUAAUAGACCCAAUAAAGGACAUUCAAUACAACAGAG
Long non-coding RNA from Octopus sinensis (East Asian common octopus), 283 nucleotides. RefSeq lists it as uncharacterized. The transcript has 3 exons. Lineage: Eukaryota; Metazoa; Mollusca; Cephalopoda; Octopoda; Octopodidae. The record is from RefSeq and is a predicted model, not a curated record.